Molecule: ribosomal RNA, 482 nt
Filed under: uncultured bacterium
Lineage: Bacteria
Description: partial 16S ribosomal RNA
Rfam family: Bacterial small subunit ribosomal RNA
Source: RNAcentral
AUUGAACGCUGGCGGCAUGCUUUACACAUGCAAGUCGAACGGUAACAGGCCGCAAGGUGCUGACGAGUGGCGAACGGGUGAGUAAUGCAUCGGAACGUGCCCAGUCGUGGGGGAUAACUACUCGAAAGAGUAGCUAAUACCGCAUACGAUCUAUGGCUGAAAGCGGGGGACCGUAAGGCCUCGCGCGAUUUGAGCGGCCGAUGUCAGAUUAGGUAGUUGGUGGGGUAAAGGCUCACCAAGCCAACGAUCUGUAGCUGGUCUGAGAGGACGACCAGCCACACUGGGACUGAGACACGGCCCAGACUCCUACGGGAGGCAGCAGUGGGGAAUUUUGGACAAUGGGCGCAAGCCUGAUCCAGCAAUGCCGCGUGCAGGAAGAAGGCCUUCGGGUUGUAAACUGCUUUUGUACGGAACGAAACGGCUCUGGUUAAUACCCGGGGCUAAUGACGGUACCGUAAGAAUAAGCACCGGCUAACUACGUG